CCUACGGGUGGCAGCAGUGGGGAAUAUUGGACAAUGGGGGGAACCCUGAUCCAGCGACGCCGCGUGAGUGAAGAAGUAUUUCGGUAUGUAAAGCUCUAUCAGCAGGGGAGAAAGACAUGACGGUCCCUGACUAAGAAGCCCCGGCUAACUACGUGCCAGCCGCCGCGGUACUACGGAGGGGGCAAGCGUUCUCCGGAUUUACUGGGUGUAAAGGGAGCGUGGACGGCGAUGCAAGUCUGAAGUGAAAGGCGGGGGCCCAACCCCUGGACUGCUUUGGAAACUGUCUGGCUGGAGUGCAGGAGAGGUAAGUGGAAUGCCUAGUGUAGCGGUGAAAUGCGUAGAUAUUAGGAGGAACACCAGUGGCGAAGGCGGCUUACUGGACUGUAACUGACGUUGAGGCUCGAAAGCGUGGGGAGCAAACAGGAUUAGAUACCCCGGUAGUC
This 443-nucleotide ribosomal RNA is filed under the name uncultured bacterium. RNAcentral's name for it is "partial 16S ribosomal RNA". It matches the Rfam family "Bacterial small subunit ribosomal RNA", at positions 338 to 795 of the family's 1533-position model. The record is from RNAcentral.